GCAGUCGAGCGGACAGAUGGGAGCUUGCUCCCUGAUGUUAGCGGCGGACGGGUGAGUAACACGUGGGUAACCUGCCUGUAAGACUGGGAUAACUCCGGGAAACCGGGGCUAAUACCGGAUGCUUGUUUGAACCGCAUGGUUCAGACAUAAAAGGUGGCUUCGGCUACCACUUACAGAUGGACCCGCGGCGCAUUAGCUAGUUGGUGAGGUAACGGCUCACCAAGGCGACGAUGCGUAGCCGACCUGAGAGGGUGAUCGGCCACACUGGGACUGAGACACGGCCCAGACUCCUACGGGAGGCAGCAGUAGGGAAUCUUCCGCAAUGGACGAAAGUCUGACGGAGCAACGCCGCGUGAGUGAUGAAGGUUUUCGGAUCGUAAAGCUCUGUUGUUAGGGAAGAACAAGUGCCGUUCAAAUAGGGCGGCACCUUGACGGUACCUAACCAGAAAGCCACGGCUAACUACGUGCCAGCAGCCGCGGUAAUACGUAGGUGGCAAGCGUUGUCCGGAAUUAUUGGGCGUAAAGGGCUCGCAGGCGGUUUCUUAAGUCUGAUGUGAAAGCCCCCGGCUCAACCGGGGAGGGUCAUUGGAAACUGGGGAACUUGAGUGCAGAAGAGGAGAGUGGAAUUCCACGUGUAGCGGUGAAAUGCG
Molecule: ribosomal RNA, 650 nt
Filed under: Bacillus amyloliquefaciens
Lineage: Bacteria; Bacillati; Bacillota; Bacilli; Caryophanales; Bacillaceae
Description: bacterial SSU rRNA
Rfam family: Bacterial small subunit ribosomal RNA
Source: RNAcentral